RNAcentral lists this ribosomal RNA (497 nucleotides) under uncultured bacterium. Its description in RNAcentral is "partial 16S ribosomal RNA". It matches the Rfam family "Bacterial small subunit ribosomal RNA", at positions 28 to 507 of the family's 1533-position model. The record is from RNAcentral.
GAUGAACGCUGGCGGCGUGCCUAAUACAUGCAAGUCGAGCGAACGGACGAGAAGCUUGCUUCUCUGAUGUUGGCGGCGGACGGGUGAGUAACACGUGGAUAACCUACCUAUAAGACUGGGAUAACUUCGGGAAACCGUAGCUAAUACCGGAUAAUAUUUUGAACCGCAUGGUUCAAAAGUGAAAGACGGUCUUGCUGUCACUUAUAGAUGGAUCCGCGCUGCAUUAGCUAGUUGGUAAGGUAACGGCUUACCAAGGCAACGAUGCAUAGCCGACCUGAGAGGGUGAUCGGCCACACUGGAACUGAGACACGGUCCAGACUCCUACGGGAGGCAGCAGUAGGGAAUCUUCCGCAAUGGGCGAAAGCCUGACGGAGCAACGCCGCGUGAGUGAUGAAGGUCUUCGGAUCGUAAAACUCUGUUAUUAGGGAAGAACAUAUGUGUAAGUAACUGUGCACAUCUUGACGGUACCUAAUCAGAAAGCCACGGCUAACUACGUG